AUAUCAAUAAGCGGAGGAAAAGAAACUAACAAGGAUUCCCCUAGUAACUGCGAGUGAAGCGGGAAAAGCUCAAAUUUAAAAUCUGGUGGCCUCUGGUCGCCCGAGUUGUAAUUUAGAGAAGCGUCUUCCGCGCUGGACCAUGCACAAGUCUCCUGGAAUGGAGCGUCAUAGAGGGUGAGAAUCCCGUCUUUGGCAUGGAUGCACCAGGGCUUUCGUGAUGCGCUCUCAAAGAGUCGAGUUGUUUGGGAAUGCAGCUCAAAAUGGGUGGUGAACUCCAUCUAAAGCUAAAUAUAGGCGAGAGACCGAUAGCGAACAAGUACCGUGAGGGAAAGAUGAAAAGCACUUUGGAAAGAGAGUGAAACAGUACGUGAAAUUGUUGAAAGGGAAACGCUUGAAGUCAGUCGCGUCGACCGAGACUCAGCCUCGCCUUGGCUUGGUGUACUUCUCGGCCGACGGGUCAGCGUCAAUUUUGCCCCUCGGAUAAUGGCAAGGGAAAGGUAGCACCUUUAUAGGUGUGUUAUAGUCUCUUGUCGCAUGCGAGGGUCGGGAUUGAGGAACUCAGCACGCACCUCUCGGUGUCGGGGCUUCGGCCCACGCUACGUGCUUAGGAUGCUGGCGUAAUGGCUUUAAACGACCCGUCUUGAAACACGGACCAAGGAGUCUAACAUGCCCGCGAGUGUUCGGGUGGAAAACCCGUGCGCGUAAUGAAAGUAAAAGUUGGGACCUCUGUCGUGGGGGGCACCGACGCCCGGACCAGACCUUCUGUGACGGAUCUGCGGUAGAGCGUGCAUGUUGGGACCCGAAAGAUGGUGAACUAUGCCUGAAUAGGGUGAAGCCAGAGGAAACUCUGGUGGAGGCUCGUAGCGAUUCUGACGUGCAAAUCGAUCGUCAAAUUUGGGUAUAGGGGCGAAAGACUAAUCGAACCAUCUAGUAGCUGGUUCCUGC
This 945-nucleotide ribosomal RNA is filed under the name Russula albonigra. Its description in RNAcentral is "partial large subunit ribosomal RNA". It matches the Rfam family "Eukaryotic large subunit ribosomal RNA", at positions 40 to 961 of the family's 3401-position model. Lineage: Eukaryota; Fungi; Basidiomycota; Agaricomycetes; Russulales; Russulaceae. The record is from RNAcentral.